RNAcentral lists this non-coding RNA (111 nucleotides) under Pteridomonas danica. The record is from RNAcentral. Lineage: Eukaryota; Dictyochophyceae; Pedinellales.
UCUCAAAAGUAUCUUCAAAUAUCGGUUAUAUUUUUUUUAUUUGACCAUGGCUCCCCCGCGUAUUGCAUUGCGAAGAGCCGUAGCUGAUGAUCAGAAAUCUGUCACAACCCU